GUGAGGAAUAUUGGUCAAUGGGCGAGAGCCUGAACCAGCCAAGUCGCGUGAAGGAAGAAGGAUCUAUGGUUCGUAAACUUCUUUUGCAGGGGAAUAAAGUGCAGGACGUGUCCUGUUUUGUAUGUACCCUGAGAAUAAGGAUCGGCUAACUCCGUGCCAGCAGCCGCGGUAAUACGGAGGAUCCGAGCGUUAUCCGGAUUUAUUGGGUUUAAAGGGUGCGUAGGUGGGUUGAUAAGUCAGCGGUGAAAGUUUGCAGCUUAACUGUAAAAAUGCCGUUGAAACUGUCGGACUUGAGUGUAAAUGAGGUAGGCGGAAUGCGUGGUGUAGCGGUGAAAUGCAUAGAUAUCACGCAGAACUCCGAUUGCGAAGGCAGCUUACUAAGCUACAACUGACACUGAAGCACGAAAGCGUGGGGAUCAAACAGGAUUAGAUACCCCAGUAGUCC
Molecule: ribosomal RNA, 445 nt
Filed under: uncultured bacterium
Lineage: Bacteria
Description: partial 16S ribosomal RNA
Rfam family: Bacterial small subunit ribosomal RNA
Source: RNAcentral